UUCUGUUUAUAUCUCUCAUUACUGCUUCUGUGUGAUUACUCAGAAAUUGUGCAAUUCUUUGUCUACUUUACCUUGUUUAACCCAUUGGCUUGCAUAUUGAAAGAGCUUAGUAUUUCCUAAAUGACUGAAUGAAUAACUGCAUAGUUCUUCAAAUAAAGAAAUUUAUUUAAAUUUAUGCACAAAUAUAAGAUGAAAGAGAGGUCAUAGUUGAUUUUCAUCAACUGAUGAAAAUUGCAUAAAAGUAAAUUUUUUUUGCAAGAAAAAGAUUUAAAUGGUAUAUAUCUGAUUAUUGUGUGAUUAGUCAGAACUCUUUUUAGUUGCAAGUUACAGAAACAAAUUGGGUUAAUGAGAAACAAGGGGUGAUUUUCUAUAAAUAUCACAGACUCCAGAGGCACAGUGAGUAUUCCAGAGUAGGAGUAGAGAUAGGAUUCUGACUGGUCAACUUCUGCCAUCACAUUUGUAUGAAUCAUCUCUUCCUGCUUAACAAACCACUCCAGACCAAGCAGCGUAGGACAGUAUUUGGAUGAAUAAUUUAUUCAGGGUACAAAGGGAAUGUCUGGACUCCACUCCAGAGUGUUCAGCCUCUCAUAAAAAGACUAGGAGCAAGGCUCUUUGCUUGACACUCUCACUGACAGCCUCCUUCCAGCUCCACAAGAUUCUGUAAGUCUUCUUAAAGCUCCUUCAGCUUCCAGGACCUGCCUGAGGAAGUUUGCCCACAUUGCCCGAGUAAUAGAACUACUAUGAUAACAUGGAAGAAGGUAUUCACUGUAGAGAUCAGACUUGAUGGAAUGGGGAAGAUGCUGGUCAGUGGGUCAGUGGAUACCUAUCAGCCUGGUGCCACUUCCUGGGGUGUUGAACCUAAAGUUUCUGUAAGUUGGCUGGGGUAUUAGUCAAAAGUGAAAGACGAUUGUUAAGUGGAGAAGAGCAAGGACAAAAUUAAAACCUAUGAGGACCAACUGGGACUCAUGAUGAUGAAUUAGAACUCAUGUUUGUCUGGCACUACCACUAAUGUGAGUGAUGCAGAUGAUUUCUAGGAGAAGUUGGCAAACCACCAAAGACUAUAGAAUUGCUUCAGUCAAUGUUGAAUUUGAUGCUUCACUGGUUAUUCAAACUUCUCAAGACAUAAACUAUGCAGUGUAUGUACAGGAGACAA
Long non-coding RNA from Heterocephalus glaber (naked mole-rat), 1153 nucleotides. Lineage: Eukaryota; Metazoa; Chordata; Mammalia; Rodentia; Bathyergidae. The record is from Ensembl.